GCCGGGCGUGGUGGUGGGUGCCUGUAAUCCCAGCUACUCAGGAGGCUGAGGCAGAAGAAUUGCUUGAGCCCAGGAGGCGGAGGGUGCAGUAAGCAGAGACCGCGCCACUGCACUCCAGCCUAGGCAACAGAGCAAGACUCUGUCUCCA
RNAcentral lists this non-coding RNA (148 nucleotides) under Homo sapiens (human). The record is from Rfam by way of RNAcentral. Lineage: Eukaryota; Metazoa; Chordata; Mammalia; Primates; Hominidae.